Molecule: transfer RNA, 65 nt
Filed under: Mesocricetus auratus (golden hamster)
Lineage: Eukaryota; Metazoa; Chordata; Mammalia; Rodentia; Cricetidae
Rfam family: tRNA
About the family: Transfer RNA (tRNA) molecules are approximately 80 nucleotides in length. Their secondary structure includes four short double-helical elements and three loops (D, anti-codon, and T loops).
Source: Rfam by way of RNAcentral
GAAUUUAGUCCAGAGGUAGGAUAUUUGCCUAGAAUGCAUGAGGCCUUGGGUUCAAACCCAAUUCA